RNAcentral lists this long non-coding RNA (958 nucleotides) under Homo sapiens (human). Its description in RNAcentral is "HSALNT0257994". The record is from RNAcentral. Lineage: Eukaryota; Metazoa; Chordata; Mammalia; Primates; Hominidae.
UGCCUCGCAUAAUGUUAAGCAGGCAUCGGACACUUGCUGGAAGGCAGGGAAUUGCAAUGAAAGAGCACGGAGGUGAGAAGCUGUGCUCCUUGGGGUGAAGGCAGCUUCUGUGCUCCUGGGAUCUACUGUUAAGCCAGGGUGACGCCAGCUUGCAUGCUACCGGAGGGGUGAGUCUUUGGCUCAGCAGAAUGGGCCUAGGUGGAGCUUGAAAUUAAUGAAGAGAUGCUGCUUCCAGCUUUUUGAGCAAGAAGAAGUUUGGCCUCCAGUUAUUACACCUUGAGGUCAGCGGGUAUCUCAAGUCUGAGUAGUUAUAAAAGUGAGCUGAUGUAGAAACACCACCAAAGCAACGUUUUAUCUAAAUAUUUCAGAUCCCCCAUUAUAAAUCAUUUAUUAUGAUUACCCUUUUGGUGUCAUGGAAUGAGAUGAUGAGCUUUUCUUAAUGAAGUAUUUCAUAGACAUAUUUUUUCCAUUUAUCUUGGUGUUGGAUGCUAUGUGACCUGAAUGGCAAAUGAGGAAAUAUUUGUGCAACUCCUGAAAUGCACACAUCUCCCCAUGCCAGAGUGCAGGAGCGGACAGGGCUUUCCCUGGCAGCAAUAGGAGCCCGGUCCUGAGUAGGGCCUCUCCAGCCUGACUGCACCAUAGCAGGUGACAUCUGACUUGGGGUGUGCCAUGUUCCCAGAGCUGCUUUUUUAAGGAGUUUGGUGGGAGCUGGAGGAAGCAUCCACAUCUUUAAAAACAAACCUUAACUCGUGAGAAGAAAAGUGGUAAACAUUCAAACACAAUUUGUCAACCUUCAGGCCUCCACUUAAGCGAGUUCUGACGUCAGUGAAUACUUCUGCAGCAUGGAAGUGCCAGGACCCUCGUUGGCCCCUGAUGGCCAAAUAGCCUCACUCUCCAUUAGAAGAGAAAGCCUCACUCUCCAUUAGAAGGCCAGGAGAGCGAAAUCAGGGAUUGCUUU